CAUAUAUAGUAUAAAAAAUAUAUUAAAUUUAGAGUUUAAAGAUAUUUAUAUGUUAU
RNAcentral lists this transfer RNA (56 nucleotides) under Trichostrongylus axei. RNAcentral describes it as "tRNA-Leu". Lineage: Eukaryota; Metazoa; Nematoda; Chromadorea; Rhabditida; Trichostrongylidae. The record is from RNAcentral.